UCCAUUGUUUAAGACUUAUUAUAAGAGCAUUGUACUUUUGGCAUGGUUCAAUAUAUUCGGUCAGCAUACUUGCAGCCCUAUUAUCAUUCCUUCUACUUUUUUUCCCGGGUGAUCAUUCCUUCUACUUGUCAUAGUUCGUCUGAAUAGUUGCAUCCAUGGACGAGUAUCUAGAUGAUGAGAGAAAUCAUGUUUUAUGAGAAGAUUGAUACGUGCAAUGCUACUUGGAAUGGGAGGCACCCAGAAACAAUCAGCUUCAACAUGUCGAAAUGUUUUAGGAUAAUAACGGAUUAGUCGGGCGUCUAGUUCUUGCUGGGCUGGCAAACCAUUUAGGUAUUCACACGUAUAGAAAAUUAGUGGUUUUAUUUUCAUUUCAAAAGGUGUGGUGUGCCGAUGAAUAACUCGUUUGCUCUUCCCGCCCGCUUCCCCACCCAACAAACGCCCAAUACACACAAAACCAAAUCCCUCUUACCGCUCUUCUCAUCCAUCAGUCACACACACAUCCAGCUAAGUCCAGCGAUUCCAUUAGAUAUAGGAAUGCACAUAGCUUCAUAAUGGGUAAUCGAAUAUUUUUCGGUAAAAGCUCCCUUAAUGCAAUCAAAAGCAACUGUGUCAUAAUCACGUGACAAUCAUGAGAUUUUAGGUUCUGAAAUUUUUUC
This 656-nucleotide long non-coding RNA is filed under the name Hordeum vulgare. RNAcentral's name for it is "long non-coding RNA (HVUL_LNC008063)". Lineage: Eukaryota; Viridiplantae; Streptophyta; Magnoliopsida; Poales; Poaceae. The record is from RNAcentral.